UUGCCCCUUUCUAGUGAUUAUCCAUUUUGUUAGCACUUUAUAGUGCAUGGUCACAUUUCAUAGCAUCGGCAUUCUUAGAUUAUUAUUUUGUAUAGCACAUAGUGCUAAUGGCAUUCUUUCAUUUUCAUUGCGGAUAUUAAAGUUUUGUUUAAAAAAGGAAAGCACUUUUAUUAGUGUUGUCGGUGGUGGUUUUCGAUGUUUAUUUUGUGGACUCCAAAUGAGGUUUCAAUACGGCAAACUAUUUGAUAUAGGGCAAAUAGCAAUUCGAUAUAACAAAGGCAUUUCAUUUUGAGUUGUUCGAACCCUAAACAUGGCUGUCGCCAUGAAAAUCUUUGUGACAGUUACUAUGAGAAGUUUUCUUGGUCGCUGGUUUUGGGUUUCAGUUAUGACGAGCAACAGACUUUGGAGAUUCAGCUGUUGUUCUCUUUGGCCGAAGAUUUGGGGACAUGCAGAUUUUGUGGGGCUAUGUUUUUCUGCUUUGGUAAACCGAUAAUUGGUUUUUGAUUCAGUUUUCUCAGACCCUAGUUAGGGUUUGGUAACCCUAUACGAGGGUUACAGUUUGAAGACAUAUGGUUUACUGGCAAUGUCAUUAAGAGACACAUUUUUGCAGAAAAAGAUGACGAAGCUUGAAUAAAAACAAAGAUAUUAUAUUAGCACCUUGACUGAAAUAUUAUGAAAAAAAAUGGGUUUUGUUCCACUACAAAAGGCAGAGUAUUGUGAAAGAAGAUUAUCUGGUUGUUACACAGAGAUUUGAAAAGCUUUAUUGGCAAUCUUGUGUAGUUGGAUUUAUUGAUAUUACCUCAAACUCGUUUCAUUCAUUGAUAAUUUUGUGAUUGCAAAAUAUAUUGUAAUUAUAAGUUUAUCAGUGAUUGUAACUUGAGUUGUUUUCCUAGCAUUGUAUGAGACAUAGGGGUUGGUGCUCCUUGAAGUUUGAUACUUCUAAAUUCAGUGUACAGAGUUGGUGCUCUUUCAGUUUAUAAAAGGAUCUAUUUGAA
This is a long non-coding RNA of Cryptomeria japonica (Japanese cedar), 995 nucleotides long. RefSeq lists it as uncharacterized. The record is from RefSeq and is a predicted model, not a curated record. The transcript has 2 exons. Lineage: Eukaryota; Viridiplantae; Streptophyta; Pinopsida; Cupressales; Cupressaceae.